RNAcentral lists this long non-coding RNA (386 nucleotides) under Vitis vinifera (wine grape). RNAcentral's name for it is "long non-coding RNA (VVIN_LNC005123)". Lineage: Eukaryota; Viridiplantae; Streptophyta; Magnoliopsida; Vitales; Vitaceae. The record is from RNAcentral.
CUCGUCUGAUGAGCUUGUUGUGCUGUAGUGGUCGCCCCAUUCGCUGCAUUGAACCUCUUCUCUCUCAGUUUCCUCUCCGUCGUCAUCAAGGUGAUGGUGCUGGUGCUGGUGCAGGCGCUCGGAGUGCUUGUCGCCGUUGGUAGGUCGCCGAAAGAAUUCAGAAUCUGGAGGCUCGGAGUGCUUGACGUCGUUGGUAUGUCGCCGGAAGAACUCAGAUUCUGGAGGCUCGGAGUGCUUGUCGCCGUUGGUAGGUCGCCGAAAGAACUCAGAAUCUGGAGGCUCGGAGUGCUUGACGUUGUUGGUAUGUCGCCGGAAGAACUCAGAUUCUGGAGGCUCGGAGUGCUUGUCGUCGUCGGUAUGUGGCCGAAAGAACUCAGAGUCUGGAG